CUGCUGUGGUGGAAGGGACUUUACAGAGAGCAUGAGUGACACAAGCCAUGCGCAGGAGGAACACUGACUCCCAGAAGUCCAAAUGGGAAUUUGCAUGGGAGGAAGAACUUUACGUCGAUAUCAGACCAGGAGUGAAGGACGAUGAAGGCAGAAGAACGCUCAGGACAAGGGCGAGCUGUGGAGAACUGGGGCUCCGGCUGCAGACUCAGGAAUGUGCUAAGAGACGGACGCGGGAGGAGCCGGAUCCAGGGGAAGCUGGAGUCCCACAGGGAGAAGGUAACCAUGUGGACCAGGGAGAUUGACGUGGCGCAGGCACGUGUCCAGGAAAAUCAGACUACACAAAGGGGCACACAGGACCCCCUGGAGGUGGCAGAGGAAGUGUGGAUUGCCAGCACCCUGGUCAUGGACAUCCAGUCUCCAGAACUGUAAGAGAAUAAAUCCCCAUUGUUUUAAGCCAGUC
Molecule: long non-coding RNA, 460 nt
Filed under: Chinchilla lanigera (long-tailed chinchilla)
Lineage: Eukaryota; Metazoa; Chordata; Mammalia; Rodentia; Chinchillidae
Description: lncRNA (ENSCLAG00000025375.1)
Source: RNAcentral